Molecule: ribosomal RNA, 500 nt
Filed under: uncultured bacterium
Lineage: Bacteria
Description: partial 16S ribosomal RNA
Rfam family: Bacterial small subunit ribosomal RNA
Source: RNAcentral
AUUGAACGCUGGCGGAAUGCUUUACACAUGCAAGUCGAACGGCAGCACGGACUUCGGUCUGGUGGCGAGUGGCGAACGGGUGAGUAAUGUAUCGGAACGUGCCCAGUCGGGGGGGAUAACGUAGUGAAAAUUACGCUAAUACCGCAUACGAUCUAUGGCUGAAAGCGGGGGAUCGCAAGACCUCGCGCGAUUGGAGCGGCCGAUAUCAGAUGAGGUAGUUGGUGGGGUAAAGGGCCACCAAGCCAACGAUCUGUAGCUGGUCUGAGAGGACGACCAGCCACACUGGAAAUGAGACACGGUCCAGACUCCUACGGGAGGCAGCAGUGGGGAAUUUUGGACAAUGGGCGAAAGCCUGAUCCAGCCAUUCCGCGUGCAGGAUGAAGGCCCUCGGGUUGUAAACUGCUUUUGUACAGAACGAAAAGGUUUCUACUAAUACUAGGAGCUCAUGACGGUACUGUAAGAAUAAGCACCGGCUAACUACGUGCCAGCCGCCGCGGUAA